CAGUCAAAGGAAGAAAUAGCUCUUCUUCUAAGAUGGAAUCUGUUGUUUGGGAAUGUGGUUGAUCAACUUGACACGUUGGCCACAUGGUACCCGAUGUAAUAAAAUGAAAAGAAGAGGCAAGAUGAUGUCAUUUUCCUGUAUUGUGAAACCAAAAACAAAUGCCUUUUGUGAGACCAAGCUGACAAACCUCUGAUGGUGCAAAGAGUCAUUCUGUUUGAAGAAGUUAACAGUAAGAUAGAAGAAGUACUGUCAAGCUGAGACCUGCAGGUGUACAGAGAUCUAACAUACAUAUUGAGUAGGCCUGAUCAUCUGAAUCCCCUUCAAUCGAGAAAGCAUGGCUGUGAGUUGGAUCAUCUUCUCUCUGUGGCCCUUGACUAUGUUUGUGGGCCAUAUAGGUGAGCACAGUUUGUUUUCUUUGAGCCUAUUACCUUGAGGAUGUGCCAGGAUUUACCUUAUAACACUGCCUUCACGCCCAAUCUUCUGAAUCACUGUGAUCAAUAGAUGGCAGUUUUAGCAGUGGAGCCUAGUGAUUUAAGGAAGCAGCGUCGAAAGCUUAUGGGAUCUUAGUUCCCC
Molecule: long non-coding RNA, 573 nt
Organism: Capra hircus (goat)
Lineage: Eukaryota; Metazoa; Chordata; Mammalia; Artiodactyla; Bovidae
Exons: 3
Source: RefSeq, a predicted model, not a curated record